GACGGACGCCGGCGGCGUGCCUAAUACAUGCAAGUAGAACGCUGAAGAGAGGAGCUUGCUCUUCUUGGAUGAGUUGCGAACGGGUGAGUAACGCGUAGGUAACCUGCCUUGUAGCGGGGGAUAACUAUUGGAAACGAUAGCUAAUACCGCAUAACAAUGGAUGACACAUGUCAUUUAUUUGAAAGGGGCAAUCGCUCCACUACAAGAUGGACCUGCGUUGUAUUAGCUAGUAGGUGAGGUAACGGCUCACCUAGGCGACGAUACAUAGCCGACCUGAGAGGGUGAUCGGCCACACUGGGACUGAGACACGGCCCAGACUCCUACGGGAGGCGGCAGUAGGGAAUCUUCGGCAAUGGGGGCAACCCUGACCGAGCAACGCCGCGUGAGUGAAGAAGGUUUUCGGAUCGUAAAGCUCUGUUGUAAGUCAAGAACGAGUGUGAGAGUGGAAAGUUCACACUGGACGGAGCUACCAGAAAG
Molecule: ribosomal RNA, 477 nt
Filed under: Streptococcus sp. oral taxon C65
Lineage: Bacteria; Bacillati; Bacillota; Bacilli; Lactobacillales; Streptococcaceae
Description: bacterial SSU rRNA
Rfam family: Bacterial small subunit ribosomal RNA
Source: RNAcentral